UGUUACGUAGUCGAGUUGGUAGAGCGUUUGACUUAUACUCAGAAUGUCAAGAGUUCGAAUCCGGCUUUUGUCAU
Non-coding RNA from Pilaira anomala, 74 nucleotides. Lineage: Eukaryota; Fungi; Mucoromycota; Mucoromycetes; Mucorales; Mucoraceae. The record is from the annotation of a GenBank genome assembly.